UUGCUCGUAUCCUCUGAAUCGCGAAGUGUUAAUUCUGCAAUGGUGACAGGAAAAGGCAAUGUACUGAGGCUCGACAACCUCUGAAGUAGCCCACAUUAUUUGUCGUGGGCUCCCCAAAGAGUUCCUUUCAAAGAGGGAAAGCUGCAACAAAUAAAUGAAAACCACCAGAGAGAGAGAGAGAGAGAGAGAGGAGCAAUAGACAUGGAGAAUGGAGAAUGGAGAUCCCGAUGAAAAAUUAAAGGCAUUCAAAGACUAUUUCUAGAGCACCUGAUGUCUCUGUAUUCUUCAUAGAGACUUUGCUGCUCUAUCAAAUCAGACAUGCACAGAAAGCUGUCUUGGCACACAGCCUAAGAAGAUUUAAGGACUGCCAUGGGCCUCUGCUACUGAGGGAUGAGGCAAGGAGGUAAGGGGGUUGCGAGCCUGCCCACCAGAGACAGAAGUCACACAGAGUUCUCAAGUCUAGCAGGAAGGUCCAAAGAGAACUUUGGUCAGAUGAAAAUUUUACAUCAGAGACCUUCAUCUCUCAAGAAGACAGGCACAGUACUUUCCCCAAAGAUGAAACAUAUUCCUAUUGCUUGCCUUAUUGCUGUCAUCUGGAAUGGGAGAUGAUGCUUCCUUUUCAUUACUACAAGUUUGAUGUGGCUAAUACCAACACAAAAGAAAAGAAAAGUUGAUUUUGGAUUGCUUUAAUAACGUUAAUGUCAAUUAACAUGUUAAUACUGUAUAAUGUUCAGCUCAAAAGACAGUGCUAUAGUAACAUAGGUAGGUAAACACAGGAUAUAUAAGGGAUACUUGGGAAAGGACAGUUGAACAAAUUAUGCCCAGAGU
Molecule: long non-coding RNA, 828 nt
Filed under: Felis catus (domestic cat)
Lineage: Eukaryota; Metazoa; Chordata; Mammalia; Carnivora; Felidae
Description: lncRNA (ENSFCAG00000052445.1)
Source: RNAcentral